RNAcentral lists this long non-coding RNA (2339 nucleotides) under Homo sapiens (human). Its description in RNAcentral is "HSALNT0396737". Lineage: Eukaryota; Metazoa; Chordata; Mammalia; Primates; Hominidae. The record is from RNAcentral.
GUCUGGGUCACGCCCCUCUUCCUGGAGGGCUUCAGGCACACCUGGCGCCCAGGAACUGCCGCCGACCGGGCUGCGCCCUCUCUCAAGCCUGGGUGUCCCCUCCGCUCAGAGGUCGGCGCGGGCGAGCGUCAGGGAAGGCUGUCCCCGCGGGCUUCCUGCUGCCGACCCCGUGCGCGGGGCCCGGAGGCCGGGUCCUUUAGGGUCCCCGCCGCAGGCUAAACUUCAGUGCUGGAGGUGCAGGGGCCACCGCCUCGCGCGGUCGGAUUCCAGCCCCUGCUCACCCUGUCCUCGCCUGUUAACUUACAGCUUUUCUUGUCUCCCACCUCCUUGCCGAGUCCCGCACAUCUGUAACUUCAGCGACGCUGAAGUUUGCAGCCCGCGUGAGAGGCGCGGCCCUGGGGGACAGGGCAGAGUUAAAACGCGACUCGGGCCUCCCUCCCCAGCUCCACUGCCCCGGGCGUGCCCUGAGCCUGCGGCCUUGGCAGUGGGCCCGGAAGGGUGGGUGCUGCCCCAAGGUCGCAUCCAGGCCCUCGGACCCUGCCGGGGCCAGUAGUGGGCAAGACGAGACUCCAAGAGCGGCCGGGCCGCUGGGGUCACUGGGGAUAGUCCUGAGGUCUUGCCGGGUAGGAUGGGGGUCCCAGACCCACGCUCCAGCGGGGACGCCCCGACUCCAGCCCGGCCCCGGCUCCGGACCGGCCGGGUCUCCGACACCGUCCGCCACGCACGCCGAUCCGCCCCCUCUCUGGCAGAACUGGGCCCUGGGCGUGGCCGUGGCCGUGGGCGUGGCUCUACCCAUGGCCUGAGCGCGCGGGACCCGGAGGGCUGAUGCCUCCCCGCCCCGUCUCCACAGCAACGGGCGUGUGCGGGGACCCAGAGCUGGCUGGGGUGGAAACCGCGGCCUACUUUCCCGCCUCCAGCAAACUCUGCAAUUGCUGAGGUUGAUUUAGCAGCACCCAAGGGAUCUGGGUCGGCAAGAGCACCUCAGUGACAGCCUGGCACCGGGGUCCGCAGGAGAAGGCCAGGCUGGGGCCAGGGAGCUGAGGCUGAGGAGGAGCGUUUGCACAGGCUAGGGAGACACGGCACAGCAGUAUCCGCCUCAGACAUUUGUAGCACCGUUAGUCCUGCCACUUUCUCUCACUGUAGCUUCGCAACAGACUUGGGAACCAAGCAAGGCAUGGCUGAGGAAGCUUAAGCCCAGUCUGGGCUCGCGGAAGAAGCUGGUGGAUCCAAAUAUCUGCUUCCUGCCUCCACCCACCCCUCCCCGCUCCGCAGGGGAGAUGGAACCUGGUCCACAGGGCCAAGCCUGUCCCAGCCCUCCAGGCAGACCGGCGGAAUAGCGUGGUUGGGGAACUCCAGAGCCCCACAUCACAGUUCAGCACGUGCCUCAGGAGCUUCAGCACCUCCUUCGUGAAAGGAGAGUCUGCCGGUAACGGGGGAAGCAGGCCAUCAGCCUGCCCAGCUUCAUCUCAGGCCGCUUCCAACAGCGCCAAGCAAACUCCCUUGGCAAGAUCCAUGCAAGGCCGCGGCUGACCACCGGGAGGCAGCAGCCUACUCUGCAAGGCACUCUCUUUACCCGACCCCCACCCCCUUUUAACAGGUGGCAGGAAACCUGCUGGCCCAGCCAUCUGCCGCACCCACCCUUCACUCCCAGUCCCAUCUCCCCAUAGCACAGAUUUCCCUAUCAUGAGCCCAGACGUGGCCUGCAUCUCCUCUUGCCUUCCUCUGCCCAAGGAAUCCCUACAGAGAUUCUUUCUCUAUCUUCCUUUAUACAUUUCCACAGAAUUGUUUCCCCAGGGCCCCUCCCCUUGAAGAAAUUAGACAGGAAGCUGGAGUAGAUGGUUCCCUCUUUCCCACCUCUCACACUCCCAAGCUCUGGUUAACUCUCUGUGGGCCAGUGGCUAGAUUCCCCAACACAGAUGACAACUGAACAAUACACAUGCAGCGUAAGAAUGUUGUCGCUGCCACCAGCCACUUACAGAUACACCAUUGCUAAGGUCCACCCAACUGGACUGUUUCCCCCUUCCAUAGACUAAGCCCCAAAGGCCAAAAAUAAAACCCCCUACCCCAAACCUGCCUAUAACUGUUUGACCAGAGGCCAGCUGUCCCAGGAUGCGGUUAAGAUGUCUACCUUGCACAACAGAACUGGCAAGAAAAACAUCUCCAGGAAGCGGUCAGAUACACGGCACAAAGGACUCCCCCCUCCCCGCUUUUCCUUUUCCUUCACCCUGACCCAGUUCUACGCCCUGUAAGACGUUGCUCCAGCCUAUAAGUGGGGCUGCCUCCUCUGCUUUUGUCAAGAGAUAGCCCGGCAGGACUGACAAUAAAUCAGUUUGCCUGAA